Non-coding RNA from Myotis brandtii (Brandt's bat), 75 nucleotides. The record is from Rfam. NCBI's taxonomy places the organism in Eukaryota, Metazoa, Chordata, Mammalia, Chiroptera, Vespertilionidae.
GGUGGUUCUCAGGUGACACACACCAGAAUCAGGCUCCCUCCUCUCUGGUUCUGGUUGUGUCACCCGAGAAUCGCA